AGAGUUUGAUCAUGGCUCAGAGCGAACGCUGGCGGCGUGCCUAACACAUGCAAGUCGAACGUGAAAAGGGGCAACCCUGAGUAAAGUGGCGUACGGGUGAGUAACGCGUAGGUAAUCUACCGAAGAGUCUGGAAUAACCUGCCGAAAGGCGGGCUAAUACUGGAUAGAGCGACGGAAUCCGUAAUUGGGUUUUUCGGGAAAGGGAGGACGCAAGUCCCUUCGCUCUUCGAUGAGCCUGCGUCUCAUUAGCUAGUUGGUGGGGUAAAGGCCCACCAAGGCAUUGAUGGGUAGCUGGUCUGAGAGGAUGAUCAGCCACACUGGAACUGAAACACGGUCCAGACUCCUACGGGAGGCAGCAGUGGGGAAUCUUGCGCAAUGGACGAAAGUCUGACGCAGCCACGCCGCGUGAGUGAAGAAGGCCUUCGGGUUGUAAAGCUCUGUCGAGCGGGACGAAAACUUUUAGGGUUAACAGCCCUAGAAAUUGACGGUACCGCUAAAGGAAGCACCGGCUAACUUCGUGCCAGCAGCCGCGGUAAUACGAGGGGUGCAAGCGUUGCUCGGAAUUAUUGGGCGUAAAGGGUAGGUAGGUGGUCUCAUUUGUCUCGGGUGAAAUCCUUGGGCUUAACCCAAGAAGUGCCCGAGAAACGGUGAGACUGGAGUCUUGGAGAGGGUCGUGGAAUUCCCGGUGUAGCGGUGAAAUGCGUAGAGAUCGGGAGGAACACCAGAGGCGAAGGCGGCGACCUGGACAAGCACUGACACUCAACUACGAAAGCGUGGGGAGCAAACAGGAUUAGAUACCCUAGUAGUCC
Molecule: ribosomal RNA, 809 nt
Filed under: uncultured bacterium
Lineage: Bacteria
Description: bacterial SSU rRNA
Rfam family: Bacterial small subunit ribosomal RNA
Source: RNAcentral